Molecule: ribosomal RNA, 415 nt
Filed under: uncultured bacterium
Lineage: Bacteria
Description: bacterial SSU rRNA
Rfam family: Bacterial small subunit ribosomal RNA
Source: RNAcentral
UCGGGAAUAUUGCGCAAUGGAGGAAACUCUGACGCAGUGACGCCGCGUAUAGGAAGAAGUUUUUCGGAAUGUAAACUAUUGUCGUUAGGGAAGAGAAAGGACAGUACCUAAGGAGGAAGCUCCGGCUAACUACGUGCCAGCAGCCGCGGUAAUACGUAGGGAGCGAGCGUUAUCCGGAAUUAUUGGGUGUAAAGGGUGCGUAGACGGGAGAGCAAGUUAGUUGUGAAAUCCCUCGGCUUAACUGAGGAACUGCAACUAAAACUACCCUUCUUGAGUGCAGGAGAGGUAAGUGGAAUUCCUAGUGUAGCGGUGAAAUGCGUAGAUAUUAGGAGGAACACCAGUGGCGAAGGCGACUUACUGGACUGUAACUGACGUUGAGGCACGAAAGUGUGGGGAGCAAACAGGAUUAGAUACC